UACAGAGGUCCCAAGCGUUGUUCGGAUUCACUGGGCGUAAAGGGUGCGUAGGUGGUGGGGUAAGUCGGAUGUGAAAUCUCCGAGCUCAACUCGGAAAUGGCAUUGGAAACUACCCUGCUAGAGGGUCGGAGGGGGGACUGGAAUACUUGGUGUAGCAGUGAAAUGCGUAGAGAUGCGGAGGAACACCGAUGGCGAAGGCAGCCCCCUGGGCCAAUACUGACGCUCAGGCACGAAAGCGUGGGGAGCAAACAGG
This 253-nucleotide ribosomal RNA is filed under the name uncultured bacterium. RNAcentral describes it as "partial 16S ribosomal RNA". It matches the Rfam family "Bacterial small subunit ribosomal RNA", at positions 524 to 776 of the family's 1533-position model. The record is from RNAcentral.